RNAcentral lists this ribosomal RNA (866 nucleotides) under uncultured bacterium. Its description in RNAcentral is "bacterial SSU rRNA". It matches the Rfam family "Bacterial small subunit ribosomal RNA", at positions 590 to 1455 of the family's 1533-position model. The record is from RNAcentral.
UGAAGUUAAAGNCAUUGGCUCAACCAAUGUAUGCUUUGGAAACUGUUAGACUUGAGUGCAGAAGGGGAGAGUGGAAUUCCAUGUGUAGCGGUGAAAUGCGUAGAUAUAUGGAGGAACACCGGUGGCGAAAGCGGCUCUCUGGUCUGUCACUGACGCUGAGGCUNGAAAGCGUGGGUAGCGAACAGGAUUAGAUACCCUGGUAGUNCACGCCGUAAACGCUGAGUGCUAGGUGUUAGGUCCUUUCCGGGACUUAGUGCCGACGCUAACGCAUUAAGCACUCCGCCUGGGGAGUACGACCGCAAGGUUGAAACUCAAAGGAAUUGACGGGGGCCCGCACAAGCGGUGGAGCAUGUGGUUUAAUUCGAAGCAACGCGAAGAACCUUACCAGGUCUUGACAUCCCGAUGCCCGCUCUAGAGAUAGAGUUUUUCUUCGGAACAUCGGAGACAGGUGGUGCAUGGUUGUCGUCGGCUCGUGUCGUGAGAUGUUGGGUUAAGUCCCGCAACGAGCGCAACCCUUAUUGUCAGUUGCCAUCAUUAAGUUGGGCACUCUAGCGAGACUGCCGGUAAUAAACCGGAGGAAGGUGGGGAUGACGUCAAAUCAUCAUGCCCCUUAUGACCUGGGCUACACACGUGCUACAAUGGUUGGUACAACGAGUCGCAAGCCGGUGACGGCAAGCUAAUCUCUGAAAGCCAAUCUCAGUUCGGAUUGUAGGCUGCAACUCGCCUACAUGAAGUCGGAAUCGCUAGUAAUCGCGGAUCAGCACGCCGCGGUGAAUACGUUCCCGGGCCUUGUACACACCGCCCGUCACACCACGAGAGUUUGUAACACCCAAAGUCGGUGAGGUAACCAUUUAUGGGGCCAGCCG